RNAcentral lists this transfer RNA (70 nucleotides) under Rattus norvegicus (Norway rat). It matches the Rfam family "tRNA". From Rfam's summary of the family: Transfer RNA (tRNA) molecules are approximately 80 nucleotides in length. Lineage: Eukaryota; Metazoa; Chordata; Mammalia; Rodentia; Muridae. The record is from Rfam by way of RNAcentral.
GGGGAUUUGGCUCAGUGGUAGAGCGCUUGCCUAGCAAGCACAAGGCCCUGGGUUCGGUUCCCAGCUCCCA